This 65-nucleotide transfer RNA is filed under the name Cerambycidae sp. 2 KM-2017. RNAcentral's name for it is "tRNA-His". The record is from RNAcentral. Lineage: Eukaryota; Metazoa; Arthropoda; Insecta; Coleoptera; Cerambycidae.
AUUCAAAUAGUUUAUGUAAAAUAUUGGUUUGUGGGGCCAGGGAAGUAAAAUUUUUACUUUGGAUA